GACUAGUUGUCACAUGUGUCCUGCAGCGUGUGUGUGUGUGUGUGUGUCUGUGUGCGCUCCAGAUUGGCUCGUCUCGGCGAGGCCCCUGGAGCACGACUCUGGAACAGAACCUCAUAAAUCCGCCCGUCCCUGAACUUGAUGCCUCGGCCCCUCGGAGCAGGGGGGGGGGGGGGGGGCAGCAGUGACGCAGUUACACCAGGAUUCCCUCCGAGCUCUUUCCUCUGCAAAGCCUGUUUAUUCCUGUCUGUUGACUCCGCUUUGUCGUCACGGUGAAACAAGAGCAACUUUACACCGACUACCGAGGUUCUCUCCUAUACCAUCCCCCCCACCAUCUGCAUGCACAGGUGUGAUGCGUGUGUGUGUGUGCAGGUGUGCAGGUGGGUGUCAUAGAGGACAAAAAGGGAGGACAGAGAUUCAGCGCUCAAAAUAGAGCAGCUGCAUCUGAUUGGGUGUGGACUUAAACCUCACACACACACACACACACACACACACACACACACACACUCACACACACACACACACACACUCACACACACAUUAGAGGGUCCAACUGUUCAGCUCGACCUUGAGGUGUUGGCUCCUCUACAAGAUGCAGAAUUGCAGAAUUGUGAGAAAGACCCUCACACACUGUUAAGUUAAGUUAAGUUAAAAAUAUCACCUCUUGCUUAAAAAGAGAUGUGAAUAUUUGAUAUAUGUGAAGACAUGUAUAUGGGUAUACGUGUAUAUGGGUAUAUGGGUAUAUGGGUAUUUGGGUAUACGGGUACAGGGUAUGCGGGUAUAUGGGUAUAUGGGUAUAUGGGUAUUUGGGUAUACGGGUAUAGGGUAUACGGGUAUAGGGUAUAUGGGUAUACGGGUAUAGGGUAUGCGGGUAUAUGGGUAUAUGGGUAUACGGGUAUACGGGUAUAGGGUAUAUGGGUAUACAGGUAUACGGGUAUAGGGUAUGCCGGUAUGCGGGUAUACGGGUAUACGGGUAUAUGGGUAUAUGGGUAUAUGGGUAUAUGGGUAUACGGUUAUACAGACAAACUGAGUCGCGACUUUUGGGCUCUACUUUGUCCUUAAGCACCGCCCAAUCCUACAAUUCCCACAAUGCAACUAGACGUCAUCUGUCCUUCGAGCCCCCCGGCCCGGAUAAUGCCCACAGCGCUGAGUCUUUGCGCUGCAGGCUUUCUGACCUGAAGACCCUGAUGACAUCACUGUGACAUCAUCAGACGUCGACACGAGAGACGGACCACUGCGAGGUUCGUUUGAGCCUUUUCUCACCCCCACCGAGGCCGAGACAUCACGUCACCCCGUGAUAUCAGGACGCUGUCACACGAGCGGCGUGCGCACUCGGCCUGUGGAUAUUACAGUAUUGUUGCAGACAACUCUCGCACCGCGCAGGAACGUGAGACAUAAACAUCCGGGCUGAUUGCGGCGAUUCGGAGGGACACUUUUAUCAUGCGCGGUGUUCUCUCUCUGCCGGGCUCCGCUGACACAGUUCAGACAGGAUUUUGGUUGCCUAGUAACCGUCCGCCGUCCUGGGAUUCCUGCGAAGUUGAGAGCGAGGAGAGUUGAGGACAGCGAGUGCUUCGUGUCUUUCGUCUGAAUUUCAGCGGCCGUGUUUACAUUCUUCUUUGAUUGUUUCCCCCGUGUUUUCCACCCUCCCAUCUUCUCUCCUCCCCCCUCCUCCCCCCCACCCCCAGUCUCACGCUCCACAUCCACAAGGGGGAUGAAAAAGAUCGGCAGCUUCUCAAUCUCUAGUUUCAAGUCAUCUUCAAUACAGCACGAUGCUCAUUUAGUAAAUGAUGGCAUUCAGAGUCAAACGGACAUAAAGCAGCAGGGGGGGCUUGGGGGCGGGGCUUACUCUGACUGGUCACCGGUCAGGAGGCCUCACAGUGGAGUCACGACGAGGAUCACACGUGUUUAAAAACAGCUCGGCCCGUGACGUGAAGCAGGAUGCGAGUCACACACGCGGGCCUCGUUACAGAAACCAAACCAAAGGGUCAAAGCUUACUGGAUGUGUUUCUGUCCUCCACCAGAUGGCCAGAUGCCCUGCAUGGCAGCAUAUGGACAUCCGGACCCGGACCAAGUCAUGAGACGCAAACACAAACAACCAACACACACACACACACACAUAAACCAGCACAUGCAUAUUGUGUAGUAAUAUUGACUGAGAACAAAACACACAAUCAGCCUGAUAAUCCGUGUGAGGAGUGCAGUCGAUAAUGUGCGCGCGCCGCUUUGCGUGUGCAUCCCUGCAGCCCUCCGUGUGAACCCGUGUGUGUGUCUGUGGGUGCGUGUGAGGUCAUGUGCGAGCAGGGAUCGUUGGCAUGAUGGCUGCACGUUACCUUCACUGGUAACUGUGACGUUAAACUGGCUUUGUCUUUAUUCCAGUUGAAGAAUUGGAUUAAAUAACCCACUUAAAUAAACGUAUCCCGCUGAAUACCUCACAAACAAACAAUUACGUCGACUUUUAAAGAGCUGAUGGUGUAAAAGAAGAAAAAAAAACACGAAUCCCCUUCUGAGCAGACUUCGAUUAGCAAAACUAAUUUAGGGUGCAGCCGAUGCUGAGUACGACAAAACAAAACCAGAAGCACAACGGCGGUUUCCUUCCGUCUCAUUUUCUUUGUUGAGCCACUGAAUCCGAAGAGAAACAAUAUGAGGGGAUCGUGUGCGCGUGUGCAUGCGUGUGCAUGCGUGUGCAGACCUCCACCUUGACCUGUCCUUUAACACGAAGGGGACAAAGCUCCUCGAGCUUAACAAGGUCCCUUCAAUCACGAAUCUGUCAGGCUGUACAGAGGAGGUAAAUAUAUAUAAAGAUAUACAUAUAUAUGAUAUACAUAUAUAUUAUAGAUAUUUUCAGGUUGCAGCCUCACACACACACACUUUCUUCUUCUUUUCUGAGGGGGUGUUAACUUUACAGAAAAAAGUUAAUAGGAGACGUAGCACUUUGCCUCUAAUUGUAAUUUAUUAGGUGCAAUUAAUGUAAUUACAGAGAGAGUGAGCCCCGGUGGCUCGCACUGGUCUGCAGGAGGAGGACGCGGCGCUCAUGCAAAGCUUCAUGCAAAGCUUCAUGCAAAGCUCCUAAAGCUUCCUCUGAGCUCACCUUCGAUCCGAACUCACGCCGCCUGGGAUCCAUUAUGCAUCUUUAGUAAAACCCCAUUGAUAAUGGAUACAGCGAUGGACUGCGAAGCGCCAGGGCCAACCAAUGGGGCGAGAGUUCAUUUUAACUGCAUAUGACACAUAUCUAUAUCUAGGACAUCGGGACCGUAAACAGUACUUAGGUGCACGUACAUGUAAACAAAAGUCCAAAUGUCACAUGUCCAACAGACACAACAACCCAAAUUAGACUGAUUCAGGGAUUUAAAGAGCAAAAUAAAAAUCAUGCCAGACAAUGACGUCAUGCCAGCUGUCAUUUCUCAUCAGCAAAUCCAAAUCCAAUCAUCAUUUUAGCAAACGAAAGAGCAGCGCUGAGACAGAGAGAGUGUGUCUGUGUGUGACUCACUCUCACGACAAGGAGAGCUGGACAGUAGAUUGUUGAGGCUUCUACUUAGUAAUAAACAUGAUAUAAUAGUAUUAUAGAUGUCAAUAUUCUGACAUUCAUCACCACCAAUUAGAACUGUAUUCGGAAGGAUUUGAUUUCCAAUUAAUCCGAACGCAAACCUUAAUUGCAAAACACAUUAUCGGACAGAAUCGUAUCGCUUUAGCGGCCUCGGCAGAGUUUAGGCUCCGCCCCCGUCUGAUCAGGACGGCCCCGUCUCAUUUACAGGCGCCGUGAACACGAUUCCACGUCUCACCCUCCCUUAGUGCGUUAGUAAUCAGUAAACAGUAGUAAAACUGUAACCACGGCAACAGGGGACGCUCGGGUUCCCGCGGGCGAAGUACAGGGGUUAAUAUUAACUCGUGUAAAUACGAUGCACGCGCACACAUCUGGAGGAAGCGCUCAGGUGCUACCGGGUCAAUUCUCUUGUGUCCUGUUGACUGUUUAAAUCCUUUACAUCAAGAAGGAAUUAACACGCUGACUGGUAAUUGCCGUGGAAACAAAGCGUAAACGGUCCACGUACGGUACAGAAAAGCAUCGAUAAAGUAUAAACUAGUUACUUGUUAGUUGGCGCCUGGACGUCGAGGACCAGUCUGGAUUUAACAUCCCAGAGAUUACAAAGGGCUGCUUGAUUUGUUCCACACACGCACACAGCAAGCUUAACCAAAUAUUAGCUGAAACAUAAAUCAUUUCCAUGGAUACGCACGCACACAAAUACAGAUUGUUGCUACAAAUCAGACUGAUUGUUGAGGGGAAAAGGUCACAGAUCAGCUGUGGGGACAGAAAACUGUUUGCACACAGAAACAAACUGAAAUGAGUAAAUAAAUCAUAAAAUAUCAGCUCCUUCCAUCUCUGGAACCCUUCGGGCCUCCGUUCUCUCCCUCCCUGGUCCUCUCUUCUUCCUCUUCUUCUGUGCUCACUGCGUCUUUCAUCACAGCUCAACAGGGUGGGGGGGGGGGGGGGCUCCCCAGAGAAACAAGCCCAGUGAAGCUUCAGUCCAGCAAAUCGAACGUGACAAUACAAUGAUUACUUAAACCGGCCCACACACACACACACACACACACACACACUGUGUCCACCUGUCUCACACCUUGGAGCAGCUUUCUGAGCUCACAGCAUCUUAACGGACACGAGACCACCCGUCACACCAUCUACAAAAUCUUUAUUCACGAGUUCCAUUCCUCAAUGUUACUUUUCCCUCCUAAAAGCACCCGAGUGGACGUCAGUGAACCCGAUGCACGCCACGACUCCAGAUGUUCCCUCGCUGCCCAGAUGCGUCUCAGAAGUAACUCCUUUAACGUCUCUUGUGUUUCUUGUGUCAUCCGAGUGCGUCUCAAGUUGCUGUCUCCAUAGAAACAGAUAAAGUACGUACGGGAUUUGGUUCGUUUUUUGAUGCUCGAGGUUCGACCUCUCAGCGUCAAGACCGGCUUCCUCGAUUUGCAGCAUCACGCGUGUCUAUAAACGCUAUGAGCGUGUCAAUGAAAUGUUCAAACUCCACCAGGACAAGUAAUCGCUGCGUCUCAACGCUUCCUGCGCCGCUUCCCUCACGCCG
Long non-coding RNA from Gasterosteus aculeatus aculeatus (three-spined stickleback), 5072 nucleotides. The record is from Ensembl. Lineage: Eukaryota; Metazoa; Chordata; Actinopteri; Perciformes; Gasterosteidae.